This 254-nucleotide ribosomal RNA is filed under the name uncultured bacterium. Its description in RNAcentral is "partial 16S ribosomal RNA". It matches the Rfam family "Bacterial small subunit ribosomal RNA", at positions 524 to 776 of the family's 1533-position model. The record is from RNAcentral.
UACAGGGGGGGCAAGCGUUGUUCGGAAUUACUGGGCGUAAAGGGCUCGUAGGCGGCCGGCUAAGUCCGACGUGAAAUCCCCAGGCUUAACCUGGGAACUGCAUCCGAUACUGGAUGGCUUGAAUCCGGGAGAGGGAUGCAGAAUUCCAGGUGUAGCGGUGAAAUGCGUAGAUAUCUGGAGGAAUACCGGUGGCGAAGGCGGCAUCCUGGACCGGCAUUGACGCUGAGUGAGCGAAAGCUAGGGGAGCAAACGGG